Molecule: long non-coding RNA, 4080 nt
Organism: Equus quagga
Lineage: Eukaryota; Metazoa; Chordata; Mammalia; Perissodactyla; Equidae
Exons: 6
Source: RefSeq, a predicted model, not a curated record
AGUGCCUGGUGCUGACGUAGCCCACGGCCCUCACUAAGCAAAGCGGACACCUCGCCCUAGGCUGGGGGACGGCCCCGCCUCGCCCGCUGCCUCGACCCGGCGCCCCGACCUGUCCCGCUCUCACGGGCGCCGGAAAGAGACUGGAAACAAGCGCAGAGCGUUCAGCCCGAGGCCGGAAGCAGAAGCGCGGGGCCGCGCCGUGGAAGGAGCGGCGGUGCUGGCGGUGGCGCUGCGCAGGGAGCGGUGGCGCUGCGCGGGUGUGCUGUGUCCUCCGUGCCGGACGGGGUCCGCGUGGUGCGGUCUGCCUUAGCGUGGGGGGCAGCCCUAGGCGAGCGGCGGACGGUCUGGCGCUCCGGUCCGAGUCCGGGGAGAGGCCUGGGCUGCCAGUGACUCCGCGCUCGGGGCCCGGCGUCCCUCAGUCCCUCCCGGGAGCCCCGUUUCCUCCUCUGGGCUGUUCGUUCAGGUGUGCCGGAAGCUGCUGUUUCCUCCCAGUUCUGGGCGCCGCCAUCCACUCCUCAUAGAGUGCGCUGGUCACCUUCCCCUGUGUGGUUUUUGCCCCCACGGGAUUUUUAACCACGUCUGAAGGCAUUGUUUUGCUUGUUACAGAUGGUGGCGCGGAUGCUACUAGCAUCUAGUGUGUGGAGGCCAGGAAUGCUGCUCAACAUCCUACAAUGCACAGGCAGCGCCCAAGACAAAGAAUUAUCCAACCCCAAAUGUCAGUGAUGGGGAGUUUGGGAAACAGAGCUCUAGGGCCUGAAAAUCUCGGGAGCCCUGAAUGAACUGUAGAAAUUGUUUAGAAGUCAACUGAGUCUCUUAUAGGGCCCAUAAGUGACAAGCAGUGUUCAAAGUGUGUAGUCACCAAAAAGUCUCCAUCCAGCCAGAUGAGUUGAGCAAGUCAAGUGCACACAGCUUGAAGCUGCUUUCUCACAUCUUGGAGAGCAGAUGGCUUUAUAGGAUUCUGGAAAAUCCAGUCACAGCCAAGUAUUAUGUUAAAUCAGCAAAUACAGAAAAGACAAGAAUAGGAUGGGCUUUCCAUCUAACACCUGUAUUACGCCCUGUAUAAGGCCUCAAAAACAAUAUUUGUGGCUUUUUUCUUCAAACAGGAAAAGCAUCUCUGGAGCUCAAGUUUGAGUUGAACUCAGCCUCAAGGGUCACCUGUCCUCACUGAUCUGUGGAUUUCUGCGUGACCGGAACCCUGUCCUGAGUGCGCUGUGGGGAGAAGGGGAGGAGCGUUGUGGUCCUCUGCUGCCCUCUUGUUCAGGAAGAUUUGCUGCUGAGGCUCAGGAUGGUAGCCAUGGUUCUGUCCCCCAGUUUUGCUCAAUCUUCCCUGUUGCCAGCCUCUCCUCAAAAAGGAUGCCCAGAGGAGGAAGGGUUGGCUAAUGACUUCCUGAUAAGCUGGUUACUGGAGUGAACAUCAUGGAUGUAACCUCAGCCCCCUCUCCAGGUGUCGCCACCACCAUCACCACCAUGGGAACCAACUUGGUCCUGGCUACUGUGCUCAACUCAGAGGGGAGUGUGAGAACCAUGGACAGCACUCUGGCCACAGAGACCUGCAUACCUGCUCUAGAGCACCCUCCCACCUGGUCAUCCACAGCUGUUCCUGCCCAACAUCAGGCCUCACAGCUGCCAUUCUCUACAGGGGACAUAACAAGUGGAAUCAUAUCGUCUACAAAGGGACUGCUGGCAUUGUGGAGCAUCUCACAGGGAUACCCAGUGAGGCAGCAUAUGAAGUUACCGCAGCACCAGUCUGUGUCCCUCUGACAUCUACAUCAUCUGCUAGUUUUAACAGAUGAUCAACAGGAGGACAGAGGGGGUAGAAACUACUGCCACAGCUCUGAAGAUCACCUCCACAGCCACUUUAUUAGUCUCUCCACUUACUUUGGGAAUGCUGACUUUCCUCAGGAUAUGUGGUAAAAUGGCCAGCAAAAGCACAAUAGGAGUGAGCAUCCCUGAUGUUUUCCCUGAUGUUCCAGAGGUGACAGCCUCCUUGACCCUCAGACCUGGAGCAUAGACCAGCACAAGCAGUUCCAAGGACAAACCCGUCUAUUUUUAAUAGAGGAUCAGAGACAACAUUCUCACUGGUCCCUAGUUCAGGGGCAGAGACCGGUGCAGCUGUUCAAAUUCUGACUGUUUCCCUGGUGAGCCAGAGAGCACACCCUCAUGGCUCACCCAUCCUGCAGAGACCAGCCCACCUGUUUCCAGGGAAACCUUGAAUGUUCCCCAUAAUGAAUCAGACAGCACCCUCUCAACAGCUACCAGUUCUGGGGAAGGAGUCGGUUCAGCUGUUUCAACUCCAACUGUUUCCCCUAUAUAAUGCUGGAGAUGGUGACCUCGCUGGUUAUUAGUCCUGGGGCAGAGAUCAGUGUGGUUAUUCCAACUCUGGCUGAUUCUACAUAGGAACCAGAGACCAUCUGGUGAGCCAGAUACAACAGCCUCAUGGGUCACCCAUUCUGCAGAGACCAGCAGACCUAUUUCCAGAACAAUUCCUAAUUUUUCCCAUAGUGAAUCCAACACCACACCCUCAAGGGCCAUCAGUCCUGGGGCAGAAGCCAGUUCAGCCAUUCCAACAAUGACUGUCUCACCUAGUGCAUCAGAUGUGGUGACCUAACUGGACACUGGUUCUGGGGCAGAGACCACUACAACAUUUCCAACUCUAAUUCCCCACAUGAACCAGAGACCACAGCUCAUAAAUCACCCAUUCUGCGGAGACCAGACCAGGGAUAGUGACUCCACUGGUCACCAGUUCUGGGGCAGAGACCAGCACUUUUCCAACUCUGACUGAUUCCUCACAUGAACCAAAGACCACAGCCUCAUGGGUUACCCAUUCUGAGACAGAAGUCAGUUCAGCUGUUCCAACUCUGACUGUUUCCCUUGGGGAGGCAGGUAAAACAGUCUCAUUGAUCACCCAUUCUGCAGAGACCAGCCUGACUAUUCCCAAAACAAUCCCCAAUAUUUCCCAUAGUGAAUCAGACACUACACGCUCAGUGGUCACCAGCUUUGGUGCAAAAGUCAGUUCAGCUGUUCCAACUGCAACUGUCUCCUCUGGUACCAGAUACGGUGACCUCAUAGGUUACUAGUUCUGAGACAGAUGCCAGUAUGGCUGUUCCUACUCUGACUCUCUCUCCUGGUGAACCAUAGCCCACAGGCUUAUUGGUCACCCACCCCAGUGCAGAGAGAAGCACGAAUUUUCCUGCUUCAAGUGUUUUUCCUCAGUUACCAGUGACCGCAGUCUCACUAUCCAUCUGACCUAGGUUGGUGAUUGGUCUACUUCCUUCAACUCAGACCAUUUCCCUUGGUCCACCAGAAACAUCCUUCACCAACCUAUGACUAAGACCAGCAGAACUGAUCUAGGUCCAGCUGUCUCACUUGGCGUUCCUACAGAAACAGCCUCAUUCUUCACUCAUCCUGGGAUAGACAUCAGCACAAUCUUUCAACUUCAGCUGUUUCCCCUGGUUCAUCAGAGACCACAGGCUUAUUGGCUACUAACCCUGCAGCAGAGGCCUGUACAACUAUCCCAACUCUGACUGUUUCCCGGCUGUUCUUGCAACAGCUCGUGAGCCUCGUACUGUAACUUCCUGGAGCACAGAAAUCUCACCACCCACAACCUCACUUGGACUUCCAGAAUUUUCCAAGACUGUGACAGGGGACACUGUGGCCUUGAUUGCUUCAGAGACCCCAAAACCACCUAAAACCAGUCACAGGGAAGGAUCAAGUCCAACCGCUAUCCUGGAAACUACAACUUUGGAGACCACUAAUUUAGCUGCCAUACGUUCAUCCCCCAUCAUUGCUGAGACCACAACCACCUUCAAUACACUGGCUAAACGUCUCUUUGUUCCAGUGACCACACCUGGAACGUCCACCUUGGCCUUAGAGUGUGACUUCAGGAACAAGUAAAAAUAAGUUUUUUAGUAUUUUUAUUUUUUAUUAUUCUUUUAAUUUUAUUUUAUUAUUUUUAUUUGCCAUUUUAAACCAUUUUAAAUGUACAGUUCAGCGGUUGUACUUACAUUUACAUUGUUGUGCAAUCAUCAUCACUAUCUGUUUCCAAAAGUUUUCUAUCACCCCAAACAGGAUUUGUGUACC